CCGCGGUAAUACGUAGGGUGCGAGCGUUAAUCGGAAUUACUGGGCGUAAAGAGCGCGUAGGCGGUCUGUAAAGUUAAGAGUGAAAGCCCAAGGCUCAACCUUGGAACUGCUCUUAAAACUCACAGACUAGAGAUUGGUAGAGGAUGGUGGAAUUCCUAGUGUAGAGGUGAAAUUCGUAGAUAUUAGGAGGAACACCGGUGGCGAAGGCGGCCAUCUGGGCCAAUACUGACGCUGAGGCGCGAAAGCGUGGGGAGCAAACAGG
This 262-nucleotide ribosomal RNA is filed under the name uncultured bacterium. Its description in RNAcentral is "partial 16S ribosomal RNA". It matches the Rfam family "Bacterial small subunit ribosomal RNA", at positions 515 to 776 of the family's 1533-position model. The record is from RNAcentral.